This 253-nucleotide ribosomal RNA is filed under the name uncultured bacterium. RNAcentral describes it as "partial 16S ribosomal RNA". It matches the Rfam family "Bacterial small subunit ribosomal RNA", at positions 524 to 776 of the family's 1533-position model. The record is from RNAcentral.
GACGAACCGUGCAAACGUUAUUCGGAAUCACUGGGCUUAAAGGGCGCGUAGGCGGGCCGCCAGGUCCGGGGUGAAAGCCUCCAGCUCAACUGGAGAAGUGCCUUGGAUACCGGCGGCCUCGAGGGAGGCAGGGGCGUGCGGAACUUCGGGUGGAGCGGUGAAAUGCGUAGAUAUCCGAAGGAACACCGGUGGCGAAAGCGGCGCGCUGGACCCCUUCUGACGCUGAGGCGCGAAAGCCAGGGGAGCAAACGGG